This 526-nucleotide ribosomal RNA is filed under the name uncultured bacterium. Its description in RNAcentral is "bacterial SSU rRNA". It matches the Rfam family "Bacterial small subunit ribosomal RNA", at positions 981 to 1503 of the family's 1533-position model. The record is from RNAcentral.
UUGACAUGCCGAUGACGUAGAAGUAAAGUUUUAUUCCCUUUGUGGCAUCGGACACAGGUGGUGCAUGGUUGUCGUCAGCUCGUGUCGUGAGAUGUUGGGUUAAGUCCCGCAACGAGCGCAACCCUUAUUUUCUGUAGCCAGCAGUGAGAUGGGAACUCAGAAAAGACUGCCGAGGAUGACUCGGAGGAAGGUGGGGAUGACGUCAAAUCAUCAUGCCCCUUAUGGUUUGGGCUACACACGUGCUACAAUGGUACAGACAAAGGGAAGCGAAGCUGUGAAGUGAAGCAAAUCCCAAAAACUGUAUUUCAGUUCGGAUUGCAGGCUGCAACUCGCCUGCAUGAAGCCGGAAUCGCUAGUAAUCGCAAAUCAGAAUGUUGCGGUGAAUACGUUCCCGGGUCUUGUACACACCGCCCGUCACACCAUGGGAGUCGGCAAUGCCCGAAGUCGGUGGCUCAACCUGUAAAGGAGGGAGCUGCCGAAGGCAGGGCGGAUGUUCUUGGGGUUCAAGUCGUAAACACAUAGAGUU